Molecule: long non-coding RNA, 537 nt
Organism: Photinus pyralis (common eastern firefly)
Lineage: Eukaryota; Metazoa; Arthropoda; Insecta; Coleoptera; Lampyridae
Exons: 3
Source: RefSeq, a predicted model, not a curated record
CACAUUAAAAUAAAUAAAUACAAACAUUCGUAGGCUUGCUAAUUAACUAAUAAUUCAAAAUAAUUGAUGUGAUGCUAUCUAACUACAAGGUUCUUGACUCGUUUUUCGGUAUAAAUACGCAAUGAAGAAGUUAAUCUUAUUUAGUCUGUUCUCGUACUUUAACAAACAAGUUUGAGCUUCUUUACGUAUAGACAAAAUGGUUUUCAAGGUGCUUUUAUACUUCGUUUUGGCACUUCUCAUUAGCGUUUCAAUGGCUAAUCCUGAUCAUUACGGACAGGGCUAUGGGCAUGGACAUGGACACGAAUAUGAACAUGGACACGGACAUGGACAUGGGCAUGGGCAUGAACAUGGUCAUGAGUAUGAACAUGGACACGGACAUGGUCAUGAAUAUGAACAUGGUCAUGGUCAUGGUCAUGAAUCUGAACAUGGGCACGGCCACGGCCAUGGAUACGAGCAUGGUCAUGGGGGCUAUGGGCAUCAUUAAAUAAUUAAAUAGGGUAGUUUAAAUAAAAUGAAUUUAAUACAAAAUAGGCCGAA